AUGGGUGUUAAUGAUAGGACUAGGAUCAGGAGUGGAAAGAGAUAAGAGGUAAUAAGAAUAAGACGGGUGGGUAAUCUCUAUGUCUCAACUUUAAGAUCCGAGGCUCUGCUGUAGGAUAGACAGAAACUUAUACCAUCUAUUACCAUUAAUAGAAUCCAGUCAUUAAUCGCAAAGGUGGCGACAUAAACCAUGAUGGAUGGUUGUACUAGGAAAA
Molecule: long non-coding RNA, 214 nt
Filed under: Elaeis guineensis (African oil palm)
Lineage: Eukaryota; Viridiplantae; Streptophyta; Magnoliopsida; Arecales; Arecaceae
Description: long non-coding RNA (EGUI_LNC008265)
Source: RNAcentral